CUACGGGCGGCAGCAGUGAGGAAUCUUGCGCAUUGGGGGAAACCCUGACGCAGCAACGCCGCGUGAGUGAUGAAGGCCUUCGGGUCGUAAAGCUCUGUCAGAUGGGAAGAAAGUUUCGGCGGUGAAUAAUCGCCGGGAUUGACGGUACCGUCAGAGGAAGCACCGGCUAACUCCGUGCCAGCAGCCGCGGUAAUACGGAGGGUGCAAGCGUUGUUCGGAAUCAUUGGGCGUAAAGAGCGUGUAGGCGGUCGGGUAAGUCAGAUGUGAAAUCCCUUGGCUUAACCAAGGAAGUGCAUUUGAAACUGCCCGGCUUGAGUACGGGAGGGGGAAGUGGAAUUCCCGGUGUAGAGGUGAAAUUCGUAGAUAUCGGGAGGAACACCGGUGGCGAAGGCGGCUUCCUGGACCGAUACUGACGCUGAGACGCGAAAGCGUGGGGAGCAAACAGGAUUAGAUACCCGCGUAGUC
This 465-nucleotide ribosomal RNA is filed under the name uncultured bacterium. RNAcentral describes it as "partial 16S ribosomal RNA". It matches the Rfam family "Bacterial small subunit ribosomal RNA", at positions 339 to 795 of the family's 1533-position model. The record is from RNAcentral.